AGAGUUUGAUCCUGGCUCAGGAUGAACGCUAGCUACAGGCUUAACACAUGCAAGUCGAGGGGCAGCAUUUUAGUUUGCUUGCAAACUAAAGAUGGCGACCGGCGCACGGGUGAGUAACACGUAUCCAACCUGCCGAUAACUCGGGGAUAGCCUUUCGAAAGAAAGAUUAAUAUCCGAUAGUAUAUUAAAACCGCAUGGUUUUACUAUUAAAGAAUUUCGGUUAUCGAUGGGGAUGCGUUCCAUUAGUUUGUUGGCGGGGUAACGGCCCACCAAGACUACGAUGGAUAGGGGUUCUGAGAGGAAGGUCCCCCACAUUGGAACUGAGACACGGUCCAAACUCCUACGGGAGGCAGCAGUGAGGAAUAUUGGUCAAUGGACGAGAGUCUGAACCAGCCAAGUAGCGUGAAGGAUGACUGCCCUAUGGGUUGUAAACUUCUUUUAUAUGGGAAUAAAGUAUUCCACGUGUGGGAUUUUGUAUGUACCAUAUGAAUAAGGAUCGGCUAACUCCGUGCCAGCAGCCGCGGUAAUACGGAGGAUCCGAGCGUUAUCCGGAUUUAUUGGGUUUAAAGGGAGCGUAGGUGGAUUGUUAAGUCAGUUGUGAAAGUUUGCGGCUCAACCGUAAAAUUGCAGUUGAAACUGGCAGUCUUGAGUACAGUAGAGGUGGGCGGAAUUCGUGGUGUAGCGGUGAAAUGCUUAGAUAUCACGAAGAACUCCGAUUGCGAAGGCAGCUCACUAGACUGCAACUGACACUGAUGCUCGAAAGUGUGGGUAUCAAACAGGAUUAGAUACCCUGGUAGUCCACACAGUAAACGAUGAAUACUCGCUGUUUGCGAUAUACAGUAAGCGGCCAAGCGAAAGCAUUAAGUAUUCCACCUGGGGAGUACGCCGGCAACGGUGAAACUCAAAGGAAUUGACGGGGGCCCGCACAAGCGGAGGAACAUGUGGUUUAAUUCGAUGAUACGCGAGGAACCUUACCCGGGCUUAAAUUGCAUUUGAAUAAUCUGGAAACAGGUUAGCCGCAAGGCAAAUGUGAAGGUGCUGCAUGGUUGUCGUCAGCUCGUGCCGUGAGGUGUCGGCUUAAGUGCCAUAACGAGCGCAACCCUUAUCUUUAGUUACUAACAGGUCAUGCUGAGGACUCUAGAGAGACUGCCGUCGUAAGAUGUGAGGAAGGUGGGGAUGACGUCAAAUCAGCACGGCCCUUACGUCCGGGGCUACACACGUGUUACAAUGGGGGGUACAGAAGGCAGCUACCUGGCGACAGGAUGCUAAUCCCAAAAACCUCUCUCAGUUCGGAUCGAAGUCUGCAACCCGACUUCGUGAAGCUGGAUUCGCUAGUAAUCGCGCAUCAGCCAUGGCGCGGUGAAUACGUUCCCGGGCCUUGUACACACCGCCCGUCAAGCCAUGAAAGCCGGGGGUACCUGAAGUACGUAACCGCAAGGAGCGUCCUAGGGUAAAACUGGUAAUUGGGGCUAAGUCGUAACAAGGUAGCCGUACCGGAAGGUGCGGCUG
Molecule: ribosomal RNA, 1509 nt
Filed under: Bacteroides xylanisolvens
Lineage: Bacteria; Pseudomonadati; Bacteroidota; Bacteroidia; Bacteroidales; Bacteroidaceae
Also listed under: 5 other names
Description: bacterial SSU rRNA
Rfam family: Bacterial small subunit ribosomal RNA
Source: RNAcentral